Molecule: ribosomal RNA, 389 nt
Filed under: uncultured bacterium
Lineage: Bacteria
Description: bacterial SSU rRNA
Rfam family: Bacterial small subunit ribosomal RNA
Source: RNAcentral
GACGAACGCUGGCGGCGUGCUUAACACAUGCAAGUCGAGCGGUAAGGCCCUUUCGGGGGUACACGAGCGGCGAACGGGUGAGUAACACGUGGGUGACCUGCCCUCAGCUCUGGGAUAAGCCUGGGAAACCGGGUCUAAUACUGGAUAUGACUCCAUGACGCAUGUUGUGGGGUGGAAAGCCUUGUGCGGCUGAGGAUGGGCCCGCGGCCUAUCAGCUUGUUGGUGGGGUGANGGCCUACCAAGGCGACGACGGGUAGCCGGCCUGAGAGGGCGACCGGCCACACUGGGACUGAGACACGGCCCAGACUCCUACGGGAGGCAGCAGCGGGGAAUCUUGCGCAAUGGGCGAAAGCCUGACGCAGCGACGCCGCGUGAGGGAUGACGGCCUC